RNAcentral lists this unclassified non-coding RNA (387 nucleotides) under soil metagenome. Its description in RNAcentral is "partial contains 5.8S ribosomal RNA, internal transcribed spacer 2, and large subunit ribosomal RNA". The stretch from base 1 to 120 matches the Rfam family "5.8S ribosomal RNA", at positions 35 to 154 of the family's 154-position model. The record is from RNAcentral.
GAUGAAGAACGCAGCGAAAUGCGAUAAGUAAUGUGAAUUGCAGAAUUCAGUGAAUCAUCGAAUCUUUGAACGCACCUUGCGCUCCUUGGUAUUCCGAGGAGCAUGCCUGUUUGAGUGUCAUGAAAUUCUCAACCUUUUCAGCUUUCUUUGUUGAUCAGGCUUGGAUGUGGGAGUAUGCGGGCUUCUCAGAAGUCGGCUCUCCUGAAAUGCAUUAGCGGGACCUUUGUUGCCUGGCUUUGGUGUGAUAAUUAUCUACGCCAUUGUAGUCAAGCAGCUUAAAAUGAGGUUUCAGAUUCUAACCGUCUCCCCUGAGACAACUUUUUGACAAUUUGACCUCAAAUCAGGUAGGACUACCCGCUGAACUUAAGCAUAUCAAUAAGCGGAGGA